CACCCCAUCCUAUCCGCUCAGCCACCAAAUUCCCCACUCAUCCCCUUUUCUUCCGUCGCUCCGCUCCAUGGUGGUUCUCGCCGGCCGCCCCUGCCACCAGAUUCCCUCGACGACGCCCCAUCAGCUCCCACCCACCUCCACCGCCCUAUCCCUCCCUUCUCGCCACCCAGAUCUCGCCGCGACCGCCCGCCGCAGCGGCCAGAUCUCCACUUCCGGCCGCCCGCCUCGCGAGGAUCAUCCGUCCGCCGCUCCCCCACGACCCCGCACACACGUCCCUCGUCGGAUCGUGUGUGUGCGCUCGCGUGCGGAAGCGGUUAGGGAACGGCGGAGAGGAGCUCGGAGGCGAUCUGAGGGAGGGGCGCGUGUCCCAUUUCCUGCUCCCGUGGGUUGCGAUCCGUUCAUCGGCUGUAGAUCCGCCAAGCUGCAGGUCGUCGACCUCUACUACAACUAGCUAAAUAUUCGGGCGAUAUCGCUGGCGAGCUGAGACGGGCAACGUCUUCGGCGAGCUGAGACGGAGCUGGCGACGAGAAGGCGACGUCACCGGCGAGCUGAGACGGACGACGUCACCGGAGUCUGUGUUUUCUAAACAUACUCUUGGUCUGUGCGUUGUAAUGCGUUGUAAUAUAAUACCUGUUCUAUUUAAAUAAAAUAAAGAGAUAACUUGA
Molecule: long non-coding RNA, 665 nt
Organism: Lolium perenne
Lineage: Eukaryota; Viridiplantae; Streptophyta; Magnoliopsida; Poales; Poaceae
Source: RefSeq, a predicted model, not a curated record